UUAGCGUUCCAAGAAAAUAUAAAUUGCCACUCACAUUAGGGUUCUUCCUAUCAUUCAAAACAUGGCUACAAACCUGACUGCCACUGCAGACAUAUUGCCUGCAUGUGUGAUUCACAAAAUACUCUGUCAUCUUAGUUAUGGAGAAGCAACCUUGAUGAGAAUUCUCUCCAAAACAUGGCUACAAGCCUGGUCGACUCUUCCCAGCUUGGAAUUCAGAGUUGGUUAUUUCGAGGACACGGAAAUAAUGGACUCAAUCAUGGAGAGUUACAGGGAUAACAAAAUCUUUAUUGACAAGUUUGAAUGUUCAAACUGUUUAAAAUCCAAUUCUCGUUAUCAAGUUUUCCCUCUGAUUCAUAAGUGGCUUUUCAUCGCUCUUCAGAAUGGCGUAAAAGAUAUAGUGUAUGGAGAUCCUCACCAUUUGAUUCGAUCGUACCCUUUUCCUAUUUUCAAUGUCUUGGCAGGAAAUUCUUUAAGAGAAUUGGUUCUGGAGGGUUGUAAUCUGAAGCAUGUUCGGUUUCCAAGUGGCGUGGCGAACUAUGGUUCUUUGAGAAAGCUUUCUCUAACUAAGGUCAAUUUAGAUGAAAAUAUGCUUCAGUUUCUACUUAAUAGUUGUCCCUUGAUUGUCUCUUUCAUCCUUGAGCGUUGUUCGGGGUUGCGAAAGAUUGAGCUGUUGAGUCUUCAAAAGAUCAAGUCAGUUUCCAUAACGACAAAUAUAAACCAACGUGCUAAAAUUCAAGCACCAACUCUUGAACACUUGUCUUAUUCUGGUUUUUGAUGGAAAAAUUUGCAUGUUGUUGAAUGUCAGAAUUUGAAAUCUUUAGUUCUAUCAAAUGUAAGUAUAUCUGAUGGAUUUCUCCAGGACCUUAUUUCUAGAUCUCAAUCCCUUAAGGCCUUGAAGAUUCAGAAUUGUGAGCGCAUACGGGAAAUUGAUUCUUCAAAUUUGGUUUCACUUGAGUACAUGGGAAUUCAAAUUCCUGAACUUAAAAUGGAUAAUGCAAUGGGAUCAACAUGAAAGAAUUGCAGCUUCACCCCAGAAUUGCGACCCCCCAAGUGGACAUUUUACAUGUCAACAUUAGAUGCCCGACUGUGAUUUGGUCAACGUUUGUGGAUGCUUUGCUAUGGAGUUGUCA
This is an RNA transcript of Lycium ferocissimum, 1130 nucleotides long. It is a transcript of the gene named putative F-box protein At1g49610, with no coding region annotated. The record is from RefSeq and is a predicted model, not a curated record. NCBI's taxonomy places the organism in Eukaryota, Viridiplantae, Streptophyta, Magnoliopsida, Solanales, Solanaceae. The transcript has 2 exons.